Non-coding RNA from Pan troglodytes (chimpanzee), 44 nucleotides. The record is from Rfam. NCBI's taxonomy places the organism in Eukaryota, Metazoa, Chordata, Mammalia, Primates, Hominidae.
AUAUAGGUUCUAUUAAGAACCAUAUUUAACAAAUGAAGAGACUG